UGGGGAAUUUUGGACAAUGGGGGAAACCCUGAUCCAGCCAUCGCGCGUGUGCGAUGAAGGCCUUCGGGUUGUAAAGCACUUUUGGCAGGAAAGAAACGUCAUGGGUUAAUACCCCGUGAAACUGACGGUACCUGCAGAAUAAGCACCGGCUAACUACGUGCCAGCAGCCGCGGUAAUACGUAGGGUGCAAGCGUUAAUCGGAAUUACUGGGCGUAAAGCGUGCGCAGGCGGUUCGGAAAGAAAGAUGUGAAAUCCCAGAGCUCAACUUUGGAACUGCAUUUUUAACUACCGGGCUAGAGUGUGUCAGAGGGAGGUGGAAUUCCGCGUGUAGCAGUGAAAUGCGUAGAUAUGCGGAGGAACACCGAUGGCGAAGGCAGCCUCCUGGGAUAACACUGACGCUCAUGCACGAAAGCGUGGGGAGCAAACAGG
This 429-nucleotide ribosomal RNA is filed under the name Acidobacteriota bacterium. RNAcentral describes it as "Acidobacteria bacterium partial 16S ribosomal RNA". It matches the Rfam family "Bacterial small subunit ribosomal RNA", at positions 355 to 776 of the family's 1533-position model. The record is from RNAcentral. Lineage: Bacteria; Pseudomonadati; Acidobacteriota.